Molecule: non-coding RNA, 709 nt
Organism: Perca flavescens (yellow perch)
Lineage: Eukaryota; Metazoa; Chordata; Actinopteri; Perciformes; Percidae
Source: the annotation of a RefSeq genome assembly
GACCAAAAAAGAGAGUUUUCAGUGGAUAGAUGCUUGUUCCCAGUGCAGGAGGUUUUUGUACGGCCACUUCAUGAGUUUGUAUCACUGUGGUGGACUUUUGGUGGAGGAACCAAACUCAUCAUUCACUCUGGCCCCAUGGACAGGCCCUCAGUCUCUCUGCUUCCCCCUUCCUCUGAGCAGCUCUCUGGGGGCUUGGCCACGCUGGCCUGCCUCCUGACUGGCUACUCUCCUCAGGGAGCCGUGGUGAGCUGGGAGCUGGACGGUACAGAGGUGACAGAGGGGGUCCUGAGCAGCUCCGAGGAGGAGAAGAGUGGACGCUACAGCAGCAGCAGCACCCUGAGCCUGAGCCAGGAGCGCUGGAUUAAAGGAGAGCUGUACUCCUGCAGGGUCCUCCAUCAUGGCCACAGCCAGACCCUGUCCCUCCACAGGAGCCAGUGUAAGGGCUAGAGGGGCUGGCUGGAGCCCAGGACAGGAGCUCUGUGUGGGGGGAGCAGGAGGAACACACCUGCUGCUCUGAUCAAUAUGAGUUUCAAUGUUUGUAGAGGAAACUAAAGCUUUGUGUGACAGAGAACAGCACUGCUGUAAAGUGUUGGACAGCAACUUAGAGAGUAAUGUGUGUCGCUCAGCAGCUGGAUGUGUGUGUGUGUGCUUAAUAACUGUCAUGUUGAUGAUUGAUGUUGAUGCUAAUAAAGCUUUCACUGUUGAAUGA